Non-coding RNA from Sus scrofa (pig), 3168 nucleotides. NCBI's taxonomy places the organism in Eukaryota, Metazoa, Chordata, Mammalia, Artiodactyla, Suidae. The record is from RefSeq and is a predicted model, not a curated record.
GUUCCCUGUGCUGUAUAUAGCAGGACCUUAUUGCUUACCUAUUCUAAAUGUAAUAGUUUACUCACCCCAAACUCCUAGUCCAUCUCAUUCUGCCUCCCUACCCUCACACUUGGCAAGCACGAAUCUCUUCGGUCUGCAUCUGUUUCAUAGAUAAGUUCAUUUGUGUCAUACUUUAGAUUCCACACAUGUGGUGAUAUAUUUAUCCUUUUCCUUCUUAGUAGUAUGAUCUUAGUUGCAAAUUGGCUGCACCUGUGGCACAUGGCCAUUCUAGGGCCAGAAGCCCCCCAGCCUUUGCAGAGACAGUGCUGUGUAGUUAUGCUGAAGGCCACAGGGGAAACUCUGGAUCCAUGAAACUUGGAGUACUUUGAGCUACAAUUUAGCUGGACCUAACUCUAAGGGACCAUGAUGGCAUUUUUAAAGCAGCUGGUUUUAGCUCAGACCUUAAGCAGCCUCUUGUGACUCCAUGUAUAACUGUGGUAGAUGGUUUUGGCAGAAGAGUAGCAUAGUUAUAGGUAUAUGCUUGUAGUGGAAUGCCAGUCUUCCUUCAGUAGGAUUUAGUUAUCCUCAAGCAAUGAGGUCUGGAUCUGAGGUUUAAAUCUGGAAAUUAGAUCUAUAGAAAUCAUGAUUUUUACAUUGCUGUGGUUAACACCAUCCUUAUCGGCAUGGGUGUAAACGCAUUUUGUAAACUGGUCUACAAGUGAAAUACUGGUCAGGUGCCCUCUUUUCUAAGAAUGGCUGUGGUUAGCUAUGGUCAAAACCCCCUGCAGGUCAAGAGAAACUGGUGGCAAUAUCAGACUUGCUGCCCAUCUAUAAUCAUAUUCACCUUGCCUCUGAGUCUAGGUACCAAUUUUGGUCACUAUCAACCCCAUCUAUUCCAGGGAGCCCUGUCUCAGGGCAGCAUUUCCUAGCCCACAGAGACACAAAGCUUACAACUGUACUCCCAUGCAUUCUGAAUUGUCCGAGUGAAGAGUGUCUCCUGAGCCUACCACGGAAGAGUCAGCUUGUGGCUUCUGUCAGAUGUGCCUGUUAUAUAAAAUGAUCCUCACUUCCCUGAGACGGAAGCUUACCAGUAUAUUCUGAGCAGUUCUGAUGAAGGUCAUGGUGUCCAAGCGUUCAGGAAAAAAAUUCCAGCAGAAGACCAGUUUCAAGGGUCUUUUCUAAGAUGCUAAAUCCUGGAUCACGGGGGAGGACCAUCCUAUUCAGCCCACUCCAUUUCUAACAUCCUCGAGAUCCACUUCCCAGUUCCUAUUGAUGAAUGUUAAGUAAUGCAAGCAUUCCAAUGAAUGCUUACUCCCUCCUAAAGCAAGCAGCACUUGUCCCUCUUCAGGUUAGGCUGAGCACUGACCCUAGACAACUUGCUGGAUACUGUGAGGAAAGGGAGGGAUAACCUUGAUGAGCAUUAUCUUGUAAAACAUUGUGUAGUGAACAGGCUGCUAAUCACCAGUUGUAGGUGGUAGGGGCUUGUGACUGCCAUCUUGGAGGUUUCAAAGGAAUCUGCCCAAAUACUCUUGGGCUCAUCUACUUAGGAUAAACUUGACCCAGGUCUGAGUCUCCUGCUCCUUCCUUAUUAGGUUGUUGGCUUUAGCGUGAGAGAUCUGUGCCUUGGGUCUCUUUUGCAGCUCUGCCCUUCAAACCCGUGACCUAAUUGUUGUAGCCUUCUAGCUGGGGAACAUGGAGGUCUUCCAAGGUGGUUACACCUUCUGGCUAUUGCCGCAUCCACAUGCCCUGAGCUAGCUGAUUUUAAGUUGACUUCUCUGAGUCUGAAAGGAUGACUGGCUCCCAAAGCAGUUAGCAAGUGCCAGCCAACUCCACAAACUUAUAAUUGCCUUCUUACCCAUAUUGUUUAAGUGCUAGAACUCUAGGAGAACCCAAAUGUUUCUCCUCCACUCUGUACCACAUCCAGAUGCAACAGAGGUGAGUCUUAAUACCCAACUUGAUGCAGUUAUCACAGUGAUUAUCAUCACCCCAUUUACCAACAGCAUCACAAUACUUUCUGCUCUCAAGCUAUUGUCGUUCCAGACUUAAUUUGAGAGCCUGCUUUCUAUAGGCUUUCUACUGUCUUAGCUCGGCUUCCUUAAAAACAGAGCCCAAGACCAAAAGUUUAGUGCAAGCCAUGUAUUUUGGGACUUUAUCCCCUAUAGCAGGAGUGAGGUAACCAGACAAAAAUGAAAAGGAAAUCAUUGAAGUUUGUCAUGGGCAGUGUGAGCUUGACUCUGCUGAAACCUUCAAGCAUGCUUUGUAGCAUUGUCAGCCAGAAGCUUUGGAAGCAGGGACCCUAAUCAAAUGAGUAUUUGCCUUCCAUUGGUAGAUGGUGGUUCUUGGGUAUUAGCCUGAGAGCUAUAGGUCUGCGGCAAGAAGUGGAGAGUUUAACCCUAGUCUUGUUCCCUCUGUAUCCAUCUCUGCUUCUAUGGAACUAUAGCUAAAAUCAGCAAUUGGCAGAGGGUAUAUAAGGCAACUGACACUAUAGAAGCAUCUACAACUUCAGGUUUCUUAAACACUUGAAUGAGUGACAGGCUACCAGGUUUUACCCUUGUUACUCUUGCUUGAUCUGUUAUGGUUGGCUUGAAUAAGAAUGUCCUCUUGGCUGUGUACACUAGAGGAGAAAUCAAUGAGUGUUAUUAGAAUGCGGUAGACAUUACAGCAGGAAGUACUUAACGUCAAGGCCUUCUACUUGUUAAGUGAAGACAUAAAAGAAACAUCACCAAAAUUGUGAUCUAGAGACAGGGCAGGCUUGCUUAGAAUGAUUAAUGAAUUCAGCACCAUUGGUGUGUGCCCAACCACUGUUAUAUUUAACUGAAGUGUCUAGGGGUAAAGAUGUUUUAAAUACAUCUCACCCUGUCUACCAGGAGUGGAAGGAAACUACCAGACAACGAGGGGACUAGAAGGACUCUGCACACAGCAGCACCUAAGGUGGAGGAGCCCCUUCACGGGACUGGACUAAGAGUGAAAUAAACAUGCAAGAAACACUAGUGAGAAAAUGGCGAGAGGUCCAAAGAGACUGGAGAGUCCUCACGCUGCAAUGUAGGUCUGACCUCAAAGGAACAGAAGGUAGAGUGAGUCUAAGCCAAGGCUGCUUGUUGGGAUCCCAUAUCCCAGGAACAGACCUGCCUUAGUAUCCCUAGCAUGAUUGGUCACUGCUGGGACUAAGCACAAGAAGUGUGGCCUUGG